UAGCCGCAAUAUUUCUGUGCUAAGGUAGCAUAAUCAUUAGUUCACUAAUUAUGAAAUAGAAUGAAUGAUCCCACGAAUAAAUUAAUUUUUUUAUUAUUUUUAAAUAAACUCAUUCUGUAGUAAAAAAGCUCCAUUUUUUAAGAAGGACAACAAGACCCUGAUGAACUUUACUAAAAGUUAAACUGGGGCGGUUUUCAAGAACAUCUUAAAUUUUCUUACAAUAUCCAAAAAAUCUGACAUUUCUAAGUUACCACAGGGAUAACAGCAUAAUAAUUUUUUUAAGCUCUUAUUUCAAAAAUUUUUUAUGACCUCGAUGUUGAAUUAAACACCUAAUCUAAGCAAGAUUAGAAAAUAUAAGGAAGUCUGUUCGACUUUUAAUUUUUUACAUGAU
RNAcentral lists this ribosomal RNA (391 nucleotides) under Telema cucurbitina complex sp. Cave_num13. RNAcentral describes it as "partial 16S ribosomal RNA". The record is from RNAcentral. Lineage: Eukaryota; Metazoa; Arthropoda; Arachnida; Araneae; Telemidae.